AACGCGAAGAACCUUACCUGGGUUUGACAUGGCCGCAAAACCUGCAGAGAUGUGGGGUCCUUCGGGGGCGGUCACAGGUGGUGCAUGGCUGUCGUCAGCUCGUGUCGUGAGAUGUUGGGUUAAGUCCCGCAACGAGCGCAACCCUUGUUCGAUGUUGCCAGCGGGUUAUGCCGGGGACUCAUCGAAGACUGCCGGGGUCAACUCGGAGGAAGGUGGGGAUGAGGUCAAGUCAUCAUGCCCCUUAUGUCCAGGGCUUCACGCAUGCUACAAUGGCCGGUACAAAGGGCUGCGAUACCGUGAGGUGGAGCGAAUCCCAAAAAGCCGGUCUCAGUUCGGAUCGGGGUCUGCAACUCGACCCCGUGAAGUCGGAGUCGCUAGUAAUCGCAGAUCAGCAACGCUGCGGUGAAUACGUUCCCGGGCCUUGUACACACCGGUAUCUC
RNAcentral lists this ribosomal RNA (440 nucleotides) under uncultured bacterium. RNAcentral's name for it is "bacterial SSU rRNA". It matches the Rfam family "Bacterial small subunit ribosomal RNA", at positions 958 to 1400 of the family's 1533-position model. The record is from RNAcentral.